Molecule: non-coding RNA, 866 nt
Filed under: Lerista aericeps
Lineage: Eukaryota; Metazoa; Chordata; Lepidosauria; Squamata; Scincidae
Description: partial 12S ribosomal RNA
Rfam family: Bacterial small subunit ribosomal RNA
Source: RNAcentral
UUUUGGUCCUAAACUUGCUCUUGUUUUUUAUCAAAAUUAUACAUGCAAGCCUCCACACACCAGUGAGAAUGCCCACUACUUUCCCAGACAGCCAAUCGGAGCAGGUAUCAGGAUACAACAGCCCUUAGCCAAAGACACCUUGCAAACGCCACACCCACACGGGACUUCAGCAGUAAUUAACAUUAAAACAUGAGCGAAAGCUCGACUUAGUUAUGAUAAACAUGGCCGGUAAAUUUCGUGCCAGCCACCGCGGUUAUACGAAAGGCCAAAAACAACAGCUAACGGCGUAAAGCGUGACUAGAGAUAUUUACCCAUUAAAGGAGAACAACAGCCAAGUUGUAAAACACUACUGCACAUUAGAAUCACAACACAAAUGCCUUUAAACCACUUUACCUCACGAAAGCUGAGAAACAAACUGGGAUUAGAUACCCCACUAUGCUCAGCCAUUAACAUAGAUAGUACAAACACAAUACUAUCCGCCAGAGAACUACAAGCGAAAAGCUAAAAACUCUAAGGACUUGGCGGUGCUUCAAACCAACCUAGAGGAGCCUGUCCUAUAAUCGAUACCCCACGUUUCACCUUACCCCUCCUAGCCAACCAGCCUAUAUACCGCCGUCGCCAGCCUACCCUGUGAAAGAAGCAAAGUGGGCAAAACAGUUUCUAACUAACACGUCAGGUCAAGGUGUAGCACACGGAGCGGAAGAGAUGGGCUACAUUCUUUCAAAGAAAAAACACGAACAGUGUGUUGAAAAACACACUUGAAGGUGGAUUUAGCAGUAAUAUAGACAAGAUAGACCAUAUUAAACCUGCUCUGAAGCGCGCACACACCGCCCGUCACCCUCAUUACAUGUAACACAACAUAAAAU